GACGAACGCUGGCGGCGUGCCUAAUACAUGCAAGUCGAACGCUUCUUUCCUCCCGAGUGCUUGCACUCAAUUGGAAAGAGGAGUGGCGGACGGGUGAGUAACACGUGGGUAACCUACCCAUCAGAGGGGGAUAACACUUGGAAACAGGUGCUAAUACCGCAUAACAGUUUAUGCCGCAUGGCAUAAGAGUGAAAGGCGCUUUCGGGUGUCGCUGAUGGAUGGACCCGCGGUGCAUUAGCUAGUUGGUGAGGUAACGGCUCACCAAGGCCACGAUGCAUAGCCGACCUGAGAGGGUGAUCGGCCACACUGGGACUGAGACACGGCCCAGACUCCUACGGGAGGCAGAAGUAGGAAAUCUUCGGCAAUGGACGAAAGUCUGACCGAGCAACGCCGCGUGAGUGAAGAAGGUUUUCGGAUCGUAAAACUCUGUUGUUAGAGAAGAACAAGGACGUUAGUAACUGAACGUCCCCUGACGGUAUCUAACCAGAAAGCCACGGCUAACUACGG
RNAcentral lists this ribosomal RNA (507 nucleotides) under uncultured bacterium. RNAcentral's name for it is "partial 16S ribosomal RNA". It matches the Rfam family "Bacterial small subunit ribosomal RNA", at positions 28 to 506 of the family's 1533-position model. The record is from RNAcentral.